GACGAACGCUGGCGGCGUGCUUAACACAUGCAAGUCGAACGGAAAGGCCCUGCUUUUGUGGGGUGCUCGAGUGGCGAACGGGUGAGUAACACGUGAGUAACCUGCCCUUGACUUUGGGAUAACUUCAGGAAACUGGGGCUAAUACCGGAUAGGAGCUCCUGCUGCAUGGUGGGGGUUGGAAAGUUUCGGCGGUUGGGGAUGGACUCGCGGCUUAUCAGCUUGUUGGUGGGGUAGUGGCUUACCAAGGCUUUGACGGGUAGCCGGCCUGAGAGGGUGACCGGCCACAUUGGGACUGAGAAUAGGCCCAGCAUCCUACGGGAGGCAGCAGUGAGGAAUAUUGCAAAAUGGGCGAAAGCCUGAUGCAGCAACGACGCGUGCGCGAUGACGGCCUUCGGGUUGUAAACCGCUUUCGCCUGUGACGAAGCGUGAGUGACGGUAAUGGGUAAAGAAGCACCGGCUAACUACGUG
Molecule: ribosomal RNA, 468 nt
Filed under: uncultured bacterium
Lineage: Bacteria
Description: partial 16S ribosomal RNA
Rfam family: Bacterial small subunit ribosomal RNA
Source: RNAcentral